CAAGUAGGACAAAUGAUCGCGGCUGUCUAUGACAGGUGAGGAAAGUCCGGGCUUCAUAGGGCAGGAUGCCGGAUAACGUCCGGUGGAGGUGACUCCAAGGCCAGUGCAACAGAAAUAAACCGCCANAAAUANCNUGUGUUAUNNAAGGAAGUUUGCGCNNGCGCAAACUUCNCNAGANUNGGCGAAGCCNAUUCUNGUGGUAAGGGUGGAAAGGCAGUGUAAGAGACUACCGCCUGCACGGUAACGGGCAGGGCACAUGUAAACCCCAUCCGAAGCAAGACCAAAUGGAAAGCGUUUGAACCGGCCCGGCGAGCUUUCAGGUGGGUCGCUGGAUGCUGCUGGUAACAGCAGUACUAGAUAGAUGAUCAUUCACGACAUAACCCGGCUUAUCGUCCUGCUUGAUGU
Molecule: RNase P RNA, 405 nt
Filed under: Lachnospiraceae bacterium
Lineage: Bacteria; Bacillati; Bacillota; Clostridia; Lachnospirales; Lachnospiraceae
Description: RNase P RNA component class A
Rfam family: Bacterial RNase P class A
About the family: Ribonuclease P (RNase P) is a ubiquitous endoribonuclease, found in archaea, bacteria and eukarya as well as chloroplasts and mitochondria. Its best characterised activity is the generation of mature 5'-ends of tRNAs by cleaving the 5'-leader elements of precursor-tRNAs.
Source: RNAcentral